This 403-nucleotide ribosomal RNA is filed under the name uncultured bacterium. RNAcentral's name for it is "bacterial SSU rRNA". It matches the Rfam family "Bacterial small subunit ribosomal RNA", at positions 356 to 774 of the family's 1533-position model. The record is from RNAcentral.
GAGGAAUUUUCCGCAAUGGGCGAAAGCCUGACGGAGCAAUGCCGCGUGGAGGAAGACGGCCCGUGGGUUGUAAACUCCUUUUCUUGGAGAAGAAUAACUGACGGUAUCCAAGGAAUAAGCAUCGGCUAACUCCGUGCCAGCAGCCGCGGUAAUACGGAGGAUGCAAGCGUUAUCCGGAUUCAUUGGGCGUAAAGGGUCCUGAGGUGGCCUGUUUAGUCUACUGUGAAAGCUCAGGGCUUAACCCUGACAAUGCGGUGGAAACUGGCAGGCUAGAAUACGGUAGGGGCAAGGGGAAUUCCCAGUGUAGCGGUGAAAUGCAUAGAUAUUGGGAGGAACACCAAAGGCGAAGGCACCUUGCUGGGCCGCUAUUGACACUGACAGACGAAAGCCAGGGGAGUAACCC